RNAcentral lists this ribosomal RNA (500 nucleotides) under uncultured cyanobacterium. Its description in RNAcentral is "bacterial SSU rRNA". It matches the Rfam family "Bacterial small subunit ribosomal RNA", at positions 356 to 869 of the family's 1533-position model. Lineage: Bacteria; Bacillati; Cyanobacteriota. The record is from RNAcentral.
GGGUAAUUUUCCGCAAUGGGCGCAAGCCUGACGGAGCAAUACCGCGUGAGGGAGGAAGGCUCUUGGGUCGUAAACCUCUUUUCUCAGGGAAGAACAAAAUGACGGUACCUGAGGAAUCAGCAUCGGCUAACUCCGUGCCAGCAGCCGCGGUAAUACGGAGGAUGCAAGCGUUAUCCGGAAUGAUUGGGCGUAAAGCGUCCGUAGGUGGUUAUGUAAGUCUGUGGUUAAAGCGUGGGGCUCAACCCCAUAAGGGCCAUGGAAACUACAAGACUUGAGUAAAGUAGGGGCAGAGGGAAUUCCCAGUGUAGCGGUGAAAUGCGUAGAGAUUGGGAAGAACACCGGUGGCGAAAGCGCUCUGCUAGGCCAAAACUGACACUGAGGGACGAAAGCUAGGGGAGCGAAUGGGAUUAGAUACCCCAGUAGUCCUAGCCGUAAACGAUGGAUACUAGGUGUAGCUUGUAUCGACCCAAGCUGUGCCGUAGCUAACGCGUUAAGUAUCC